Salvelinus sp. IW2-2015 is the source of this 1028-nucleotide long non-coding RNA. RefSeq lists it as uncharacterized. The record is from RefSeq and is a predicted model, not a curated record. Lineage: Eukaryota; Metazoa; Chordata; Actinopteri; Salmoniformes; Salmonidae.
ACGGUCCUCUCACAUUCCAUUGCGUAGCAAGGGGGGAUUUAAGGAGACUUAUUUCCUUAAAACUGUCCUCCCAUCCACAGAGCGCCCAGUCUGCUCUGAUCAAGUUGAUAUAGCAAAAUUCAGCCAGGGUACAGGGAAUACUAUACGAGGCGGACUAACCGAAGAUUUGGCCCUUAUAUAUUAUUACCAGAUAUAAUACUAUUUCCUGGUGGUGUAUUUUUUAAACAAGUUAAUAGCUUUAAAUAUCAGCCAUGUUAAGACAUGCUGUUGUGGCUGGAACACAUCGACAGAGAAAAUACCAUCCCUGCAGGAGUUUGGUGACAUCCGACUUAUUUCAGUGGAUGCAUUUUUCCUGCACCCUUGAAUUGACUGGAGAACUGUCGGCCACUUACACUUCAGGAGAAAAUCAACUGUUUUUAUCUCGCAAAGACUUUGAUGAAUGGAAAUCGUCGGGGAUCACGCCGUCUAGACUUUUUUUUUCUCUAUCAAUCUUCUGUUCCGGACUCGUCAUGUUUGCAUCUCGACUGGAGUAAAGUUUUCCAACAUGUGAUCUAGUUUAUGACCGGGGUUUCUUCAGCCUACAGCCGUUCUCUGUCUGAGGGAUGUAUAGGGACAUGGCAAGUUGUCAGGGCCUCUGCAACAAACACAUGGAUUCAAUUAAAUACACUCUCCUCAGACCAUCAACAUGACAGAGCAAAGUCCAGAUACACAGAAAUCCAACAAGGACAAAUAAUACAAGGAGGAAGAUACCUCUCACCAGACUCACACUGACUUGAUGUUCAUUAGCUUACUCUAUGAGCAAGUUUAGCUUUCCAAUGUAACUUAUGAUUGCUAUGAUUUUUUAUUAAAAUGUACUUGUAUUGUUGAUAUAUGUUGCUACCAUUAUUAAUGAUAUUCAAUAUAUUUUAAAUCAUGUCCCUUGCAUUCAAACUAAGUGUUUGUGGUUUUCACCAACCCAGGACACUGUAAUAUUAUGGCUGACUUAUCCUCCAACCCCAGCGGUGUGUAAAUAAAGAUAUCUAUGUUGA